GUAGACAUAGUUUUAACCAAAACAUUAGAUUGUGAUUCUAAAGACAAGGGUUAAACCCCCUUUGUCCACC
This 70-nucleotide transfer RNA is filed under the name Favonigobius gymnauchen (sharp-nosed sand goby). Its description in RNAcentral is "tRNA-His". It matches the Rfam family "tRNA". Rfam says of the family: Transfer RNA (tRNA) molecules are approximately 80 nucleotides in length. Their secondary structure includes four short double-helical elements and three loops (D, anti-codon, and T loops). Further hydrogen bonds mediate the characteristic L-shaped molecular structure. tRNAs have two regions of fundamental functional importance: the anti-codon, which is responsible for specific mRNA codon recognition, and the 3' end, to which the tRNAs corresponding amino acid is attached (by aminoacyl-tRNA synthetases). tRNAs cope with the degeneracy of the genetic code in two manners: having more than one tRNA (with a specific anti-codon) for a particular amino acid; and 'wobble' base-pairing, i.e. permitting non-standard base-pairing at the 3rd anti-codon position. Lineage: Eukaryota; Metazoa; Chordata; Actinopteri; Gobiiformes; Gobiidae. The record is from RNAcentral.